CAAAAUUGUCUCUUUUAGUAUUUGUCCAGAAGGUUUCCUUUAAAAGGAAACCCCU
This is a small nuclear RNA of Carassius auratus (goldfish), 55 nucleotides long. Its record names the gene U7. It matches the Rfam family "U7 small nuclear RNA". Rfam says of the family: Animal histone pre-mRNAs are spliced by a different mechanism than nuclear pre-mRNAs and self-splicing introns. This processing involves the U7 snRNP, which contains only one RNA species: U7. The 5' end of U7 RNA is thought to base-pair to a conserved spacer element downstream of the cleavage site in histone pre-mRNA. The record is from Ensembl. Lineage: Eukaryota; Metazoa; Chordata; Actinopteri; Cypriniformes; Cyprinidae.